The sequence is a non-coding RNA, 923 nucleotides long. It matches the Rfam family "Bacterial small subunit ribosomal RNA".
CAAAAGUUUGGUCCUAGCUUUGUUGUUAGCUACUACUUAAUUUACACAUGCAAGUCUCCGCACUCCAGUGAGAAAGCCCUUUAAACCUUUUUAGGCCAUGGAGCUGGUAUCAGGCACAAUCUUUGCCCAUAACACCUAGUCUCACCACACCCCCAAGGGUUAUCAGCAGUGAUAAACAUUGCCUAUUAGUGUCAACUUAACUCAGUUAAAGUAAAUAGAGCCGGCCAACCCGGUGCCAGCCGCCGCGGCUACACCAUUGGGCUCAAGUUAACAAUCACCGGCGUUAAGCGUGGUUAGAGAUAAAAUAAAUUAAGGUUAAAUUAAUACUUAGCAGUGAUAAGCUUGCCAUUAAGAAAACCAUAAACGAAAGUUACCUUAAUCCCCUUGAACCCACGACAGUUGGAACCACAAACUGGGAUUAGAUACCCCACUAUGCCCAACCGUAAACAAUUAACCUACACCUAUCAGCGCCAGGGAAUUACGAGCUAUGCUUAAAACCCAAAGGACUUGACGGUGUCCCAUCCCCCUAGAGGAGCCUGUUCUAUAAUCGAUGAUCCCCGAUAUACCCGACCACUCCUAGCUCUUCAGUCUGUAUACCUCCGUCGGAAGCUUACCAUGUAAACGCCAAAGUAGGCUUAAUGAUACCAUCAGCACGUCAGGUCAAGGUGCAACUCACGGAGUGGAAAGUAAUGGGCUACAGUUUCUAAACUAGAACAAACGAAAGACUAUGUGAAAUCAUAAUCAUGAAGGUGGAUUUAGUAGUAAAAAGAAAAUAGAGUGUUCUUUUUAAUUAGGCCCUGGGACGCGUACACACCGCCCGUCACCCUCUUCGAUACUUUACUUCUAGUUUAUAACCUGUCACCCUAAAUUAGAAGAGGUAAGUCGUAACAUGGUAAGUGUACUGGAAAGUGCACUUGGCAUAU